This is a non-coding RNA of Infundibulicybe gibba, 104 nucleotides long. Lineage: Eukaryota; Fungi; Basidiomycota; Agaricomycetes; Agaricales; Omphalinaceae. The record is from the annotation of a GenBank genome assembly.
GCCCGCCUAGCUCAAUCGGAUAGAGCGUCAGACUUUUACAGAGGUCCGGGUGACUGGUCACUACUGUGAUCUGAAGGCUGCGAGUUCGACCCUCGCGGUGGGCU